Molecule: long non-coding RNA, 214 nt
Filed under: Pan troglodytes (chimpanzee)
Lineage: Eukaryota; Metazoa; Chordata; Mammalia; Primates; Hominidae
Description: long non-coding RNA NONPTRT012738
Source: RNAcentral
GCUGUUGGUUUAUAGGAAUGCUAGGGAUUUUUGUACAUUAAUUUUGUAUUGUGAAAUUUGCUGAAAUUGUUUAUCAGCUGAAAAAGCUUUUGGGCCAAGGCUAUGAGGUUUUCUAGAUAUAGGAUCGUGUCAUCUGCAAACAGAGAGAGUCUGACUUCCUCUCUUUCUGUUGGAUGCCCUUUCUUUGUUGUCCCAUUGCUCUGGCUAGUACUUC